UUCAACUACUCACUCUGCUUUAUAACCAUUUAUUUUCCGUCAUUGUAAAUCAGCCGCCCAUUUGCUCCUUCCUUCCAGACUCUGUUGUCUGCCCUGCUUUUUCAUAGUCUUCCUUAGCAUUUACCAAGAAUCUUCCAAGACAAAAUCUCUCUCCUCAAGCCUUCAACCUUUGCCCUUAUUUUCAAUUUGCUUUCUCUGCAAUCAGUUGCUAAGCUUAACAGAUCUCUUUGCAUCUAACAGCCUCAAGCCUCCAGGAUUCUUGGAUAUUCAGCUGAAAAGGGGAAGAAAGAAGGGUGAAGAGUUGCUCAAAUUAUCCUUGGAAUGUAAAGGUAGGGUGCAAGCUAAGGGAGAUGGCUACUAGGUAUGAGGAAGUUGUGACCAUGUAUUUGAGGAUGACUGUUGAAGGGAAUUCCAAUAAGAUGAACAAAAGAGUUCCAACAGUGGUGUUGGCAAAGGAGCUUACUAUUUAUGGAAAGGAAAAUAAUGAGUAUUCUAUAUUUGAAUUGUUGAUGAGUAAUAAAGGAAAUAUCUUGAGUUUUUGUGCUUUUAAUAGGCAUGGAUGGAGUAGGGAAGAAAUUUCAACCCCAAAUUAUGUGCAACGAUGAUAUCGGGAAAUUUGAUAAUAAAGCAUGAAUUUAUGUUUCUAAUGAAUUUAACAUUCUUGUUUGGAAAGAAGUUUUCAGUCAGUCUAGAUGAUGUUUGGACCGAGAAUUAGGAGCAUUAUAGUAUUGAUAUCCUUCAAGUUUUGAGAUUGAGCUAUUAUCAUCUUCCUUCACAGGGAAUGGUGUUAUGCUUAUUGUGCAAUUUUUCCUAAGGAUAUCGAAUUAGACAAGAAUGAGUUGGUUUUGUUAUGGAUGGCAUAAGAAGUUUUAGAAUAUACAUAGACUCAUGCUUUAUAACUAUUAACAUUAUAUCAUCAUGAAGAUAAAAUGUGUGAUAUAUGAUCUGGUAAGUGAUCUAGCUCAAUUUGUUGGUGGAGAAAUGUGUUUUAACUUGAAUUAUAUCAUCAUGGAGAUAAUAUGUGAUGUGUGAUCUGGUAAGCGAUUAGCUAUUUUUGUUGGUGGUUAUAUCAUCAUGAAGAUAAUGCAUAGUGUGUGAUUUGCUAAGUGAUUUAGCUCAAUUUGUUAACGGAGAAGUAUGCUUUAAUUUGGAUGAUAAAUUGGAGGUUACAAAAUCUUGUAUAAAGGUUCAACAUUCAUCAUUCACUUCUUGGUUAUCUUGCUAAAGUUUUAAGCUGUCUACAAAAUCAAGAGCUUGAGAACGUUCUCCUAAUAUUAUCAACUUUUUCAUUAUGAGUAACAAUGGCUUAGUUACAAAUUAAAAUUCUUGAAAUUAGUAGAGUUAGUUGGGGACAACAGGAUUGAUGAAUCUUCCUUAUCUAGAAGGGAAGCUUGACAUUACAAUAAUGUGGUUAGUAAUUGAGAUGUAAAGUCUACUGCUCUAAAGGAGAAGUAAGCUGUUGAAGGAUUAGACUUGGGUUUAGUUGAUGAUUUCCAAGAUAAGUAAGGUGAAUUGGUAAUGAAAGGCAAAAGUUGGAGUACAAAUACAAUUUCCUUUCUAGAUGAGGGUGGCUUACCACUUCCCACUAAUUAAUUUGGAAUGCCUUUGUGGAGAGCCUCCAAAACCUCACUUCUCUAGAAGAUUUAUGGAUAUUAAGUUUCCUCAAACUCCAAUUCUCACCACACUUGGAUACCAGGCGUUCAAGUCUUGUUCUCUUCUCAAACAUCAGUUGUCUAAAGAAAAAUGAGACUAUUGGCCCAUUGUCGCUUGCAUCCUCGUAAAUAGAAUUGAGAUAAAGUUCAGUAUAAAAGAGACAAUGAAUUGAUGGUACAAAUCUGUGGCACUACUCAAAUUUUCUGCUUGAAAAAGAGAAGAGUUCAGAUAGCUGCAAACAGUAAUGUUUAUGUGAAGCCAUCAAAGACACACCAGCACACAACUUGGAGGUCUCAGAAGGAUGAGAAAUGGAAGCUCAAUUUUACUCCUCACUAGAAUGUGAUUGGCUUCUUUUACAUUAUCCUUGUGGCUGCUUCAAGCCGCCUUCAACCACCAAAGUAUGCAAGUCCUUCACCCACCAGCACCCUCUUGCUACAGGGGCUUUCAUCGGAACCUCAUGGAAAAUUCUCAGUCAGUCAGGAUUUUUACAAUGUCACACAGAAAAUCCUCUUUCAGGUUUGCAACUUGCGAGAAUGACCCAAUAAUGAGGUGGAGCUGAGCAUAGCGGGAGGUGGAAUGCUGACUUCUGCACUUAUUGUAUUUGCUGCUACUAGGUAGGCGAAGAAUGUGUCGUGUGUGGAAUAACGUAACUGCACUCUUUUCUUAUUUAACUGUAUUCAAGUUUCUUUGAAGACACGAAGAGGAUCAUAGUUUAUAGCAUUUGCAAGACUUUAACGAGAAUGUUAUUUGUAUGGAUCAUAUGUGUGGAUCAAUAUUGAACAUUGCAACAUCAGUUUCUUGUGAUAUCAUUUACUGCUUCUGAUCAAA
Hevea brasiliensis (rubber tree) is the source of this 2481-nucleotide long non-coding RNA. RefSeq lists it as uncharacterized. NCBI's taxonomy places the organism in Eukaryota, Viridiplantae, Streptophyta, Magnoliopsida, Malpighiales, Euphorbiaceae. The transcript is spliced from 5 exons. The record is from RefSeq and is a predicted model, not a curated record.